AUAAGUAUCGUACUUUAGUAACUUGUAUCGAUAGUAUAUUUGCCAUUGGAACAGUGUAUCACUAGUAAAAGGUGUCUCAAAUAAUAAUGUUCAGUAGAAAUUGAAAUAAUUCUUAAAAACUGAACAAAUAUCUUUGAAACAAAUGGCCAUUAGUAAAUUAUUUCAUAAGGUGGUGCAUCUCAGAAUGACGGAAUCGCACUAGUAAAGCAGCUGCGGCCUGCGGGGCAGGUUCAGAAUUCAGAUUCAGACGACUAAAAGGCGUCGACGGCACGAAGGCACAAAUCGAGGCGUCGUAGUGUAAUUACGACGCAUUUUUUGUGUCAAAAGUUUUCAUUGGCAGCCUUGACGACUUUAUGCAUUUUCCUUGCCAUAAGUCCUGGUGUGUGUGAAUCAGCAUCUUUGGUCGCCUGUGGAGAUUUGAGAGAGAUGGAACUUUUCCUUUUCCUUAUGCUAGAGGCUGAUAACCAAGAAAUUUUUGACAUGGUUCUCCACCUCACUGCUUAUCAUUAUCCUGAAAAUAUCGUCUUGCCACAAGGAUAUACUCCUCCAAAUCUGGCAGUUAGCACCCUUUACUGGAAGGCUUGGUUGAUGCUAUUGAUGCUGAUUGCUCAUAAUCCUGGCAGUCUUGGGUCUGAGGCAUGGAAUUCAUUCCCUCCUAUACUCCGAGCAUUGAUGGAGAUGUGUAUCACAAAUGAUUUCGCUACUUCUUCUGGUACCACAGACCAGACAGAGUUGCAGGUGGCUGCAAUUGAAAAGCAAACCAUCUUGGAAUUCGAAACAGAUCUAGGAGCCGCCUCUACAAAAACUGUUAUUACCGAGAACAAUUCUUUGCUGCUUAGUCAAUUGACAUCACUUGAUCCACGAGGAUCUACGCGACGACCUCCUCCGGCUGUUAUUGAGCAGCUUCGAACUUUGAACGCAACACUUCUACUUUGUAGAAGUCGCCAACCGAACUUUUUAUUGUAAAUUCUGCAUAGGCAAGGAGCUGCGCAAACGAAGCCAUGGCUGGCUGAUUUGGUCGAGUCCAAUGAAGGUGCUUGGAACGUUCUGCCUGUUCAAUGUCUUUCUUGGCAAACGCAAGGAACGUCGUCACAAACACCAACAGUUGGUCCAGCAUCUAAGAUUUUUGUUGACUGAUCCCAAUCAACUACCCGAAGCAUGCCGUGAAGUCCUAGACUAUUUGAUGAGACGAUUGAGUGCUCAGAAAGCUCUCGCCCGUCACCAAGCCCUCACGGCAUUGAGUGUGGUCUUGGCAGUAAAAGACGAUGAUAUUACCAUGAGUGAUGGUGCAUGCUCCGAAGGAACAGGAGACGAUUCCCAGUUCUCUUGGCUUGUUCAUCAGUUACCUACCAUCCCACAUUUCGAAGCCGUACGCCCUGCCGUGAUUGCUGCUCUACGGGCCGCCUUUCUAAUUGAAACAAAACCACUAGCCAUGUGUAUGCGUCAUCGUAAACAUCCGAUUCCGAUAUUUCCUUAUUUUUCAUAAUUUUUCCGUGCUUUCCCCUUUUUUCCCCAUUUUUAUCCAAAAUUUUCCAAUAUUUCCUAAUUUUCUUGGAGCAGGACGCAAGUCCUGACUAGUGACGUUUUUUUUAAUACAUAGCCAUCUAGCGCUCA
Daphnia pulex (common water flea) is the source of this 1614-nucleotide RNA transcript. It is a transcript of the gene named integrator complex subunit 1-like, with no coding region annotated. The record is from RefSeq and is a predicted model, not a curated record. NCBI's taxonomy places the organism in Eukaryota, Metazoa, Arthropoda, Branchiopoda, Diplostraca, Daphniidae. The transcript has 8 exons.